GAUGAACGCUGGCGGCGUGCUUAACACAUGCAAGUCGAGCGAGAAGUUUUGAAAAGAUUCUUCGGAUGAAAUUUAAAAUGGAAAGCGGCGGACGGGUGAGUAACGCGUAGGCAACCUGCCCCAUACAAAGGGAUAGCAUUUGGAAACGAAUAUUAAUACCUUAUGAAACUUAACUAGUGCAUGCUAGGUAGGUCAAAGAUUUAUCGGUAUGGGAUGGGCCUGCGUCUGAUUAGCUAGUUGGUGAGGUAACGGCUCACCAAGGCGACGAUCAGUAGCCGACCUGAGAGGGUGAACGGCCACAUUGGAACUGAGACACGGUCCAAACUCCUACGGGAGGCAGCAGUGGGGAAUACUGCACAAUGGGGGAAACCCUGAUGCAGCAACGCCGCGUGAACGAUGAAGGCCUUUGGGUCGUAAAGUUCUGUUCUAGGUGAUGAAAACUGACAGUAACCUAGGAGAAAGCCCCGGCUAACUCCGUG
This 479-nucleotide ribosomal RNA is filed under the name uncultured bacterium. RNAcentral's name for it is "partial 16S ribosomal RNA". It matches the Rfam family "Bacterial small subunit ribosomal RNA", at positions 28 to 507 of the family's 1533-position model. The record is from RNAcentral.